UCUCUACUUGCGUAGGCAGUCUCACUAGAGUCCCCAACUUAAUGAUGGCAACUAGUGACAGGGGUUGCGCUCGUCGCAGGACUUAACCUAACACCUCACGGCACGAGCUGACGACAACCAUGCAGCACCUUGAAAAUUGCCCGAAGGAAGGUCUAUUUCUAAACCGAUCAAUUCCCAUUUAAGCCUUGGUAAGGUUCCUCGCGUAUCAUCGAAUUAAACCACAUAAUCCACCGCUUGUGCGGGCCCCCGUCAAUUCCUUUGAGUUUCAAUCUUGCGAUCGUACUUCCCAGGUGGAUUACUUAAUGCUUUCGCUCAGACACCAACAGUGUAUCACAAAUGUCGAGUAUCCAUCGUUUAGGGCGUGGACUAC
Molecule: unclassified non-coding RNA, 370 nt
Filed under: uncultured Weeksellaceae bacterium
Lineage: Bacteria; Pseudomonadati; Bacteroidota; Flavobacteriia; Flavobacteriales; Weeksellaceae
Description: contains 16S-23S intergenic spacer region
Source: RNAcentral